UACGUAGGGGGCUAGCGUUGUCCGGAAUCAUUGGGCGUAAAGCGUGCGCAGGCGGUUCGUCGUGUCUGAUGUGAAAGCCCCGGGCUCAACCUGGGAAUGGCAUUGGAAACUGGCGGACUAGAGUGUGGCAGAGGGGGGUGGAAUUCCGCGUGUAGCAGUGAAAUGCGUAGAGAUGCGGAGGAACACCGAUGGCGAAGGCAGCCCCCUGGGAUAACACUGACGCUCAGGCACGAAAGCGUGGGGAGCAAACAGG
This 253-nucleotide ribosomal RNA is filed under the name uncultured bacterium. RNAcentral describes it as "partial 16S ribosomal RNA". It matches the Rfam family "Bacterial small subunit ribosomal RNA", at positions 524 to 776 of the family's 1533-position model. The record is from RNAcentral.